GGGAAUUGGAUAUUAAUCAACUUCAAUUUGAUCGUGUCUUGUGUGAUGUUCCAUGCAGUGGCGAUGGCACUCUGCGCAAGGCUCCUGAUAUAUGGAGGAAAUGGAAUGCUGGAAAUGGUAACGGUCUCCAUGGGCUACAGAUUCAGAUAGCAAUGCGAGGAUUGUCUUUGCUUAAAGUAGGUGGAAGGAUGGUUUAUUCGACUUGCUCAAUGAAUCCCAUAGAGAAUGAGGCCGUGGUUGCUGAGAUCUUACGGAGAUGUGGGGAGUCCGUUGAACUUGUUGACGUGUCUAGUGAGGUUCCACAACUUAUUCGCAGACCAGGUCUUAAAAAAUGGAAGGUUCGAGAUAAAGGAGCGUGGUGGACUUCUUAUAAAGAUGUUCCUGAGGGUCGUAGAAAUGCAAUUGUUCCAGGAAUGUUCCCCUCUGGCAAAACCUAUCUGGAUGUAUCUGAGAAGAAUGAUGAUGCAACUAGAGACCAAUUGUCUGAUAAUGGAAAUAAUGCUAAUGGCAUUGAGGUGUUGGAAGAUCCAGCAACUGCAGCUACGAUCUCGGAUAAAGAAGUUUCAACUCUACCUCUGGAACGUUGUAUGAGGAUAGUGCCGCAUGAUCAGAAUAGUGGAGCCUUCUUUGUUUCCGUAUUUCAAAA
RNAcentral lists this unclassified non-coding RNA (646 nucleotides) under Hevea brasiliensis (rubber tree). The record is from RNAcentral. Lineage: Eukaryota; Viridiplantae; Streptophyta; Magnoliopsida; Malpighiales; Euphorbiaceae.